AAACAACAAUAAAUUGUUAAAUCCUAAUAAUAAAUAUUAGUUGUUUAUUAUAUUUAAACUGACGUAAACUCACUAUUACUGAUAUCAUUAAAGAAAUAAUUAAUUUGUUACAAAUAAGAAAUUGAUAAUGUAUGUUUGAAACUAAUGUUAUUUAUCUUUCUGGUUGUAAAAUUUUUCCACAUUUUUAAUAAAUGUCUGGUGCGGCCUCCCCGGUGUCCGCAGCGGCUUCUACGAUCUUCAUCGUCGGCAGUUGGACGGAAUUGAGGCUCUUCCGAUUGCAUGGUAGGGCUCGGCGGUUUUGCCUCUUCCUUCUUCUUGUUAUUUUCCGCCAGUUUUUCUAUUAUUUCCCUUAACGGUAAUUUGUUCACAAUUAUGCCACUCUGGCGCAAAAUAAUAUGAAGGAAAGCCGUUUGUUCGUGGACAGAGUAUUCACCCCUAAAAUACGGAAAAUGUUUUGAAGUGUUUAAUAAAGAAAUCAACGGAAACACACAUUACGUACAAAAUUUAUUUAUUUCAGAAAAUUGUCAUUUUACAAAAAUAUAUAUAAUUUCAGAGGCUUCCUUUAUUUUAUUUUUUUCAUCCUGUAAAAAAGUUUUAACAUAUGUAAGGAAAAAUAAUAGCGUUACCCGAAUAAAUAUCAAUUGGAAACAACAAUAAAUUGUUAAAUCCUAAUAAUAAAUAUUAGUUGUUUAUUAUAUUUAAACUGACGUAAACUCACUAUUACUGAUAUCAUUAAAGAAAUAAUUAAUUUGUUACAAAUAAGAAAUUGAUAAUAUGUGUUUGAAACUAUGUUAUUUACCUUUCUUGUGGAAGAAAAAUUUUUUCAUCUUUUAAAUAAAUUCUUGUUGCGGGCCCACUGUUGUCCGCCGCGGCUUCUACGACUUUCUUCGGUUGCAUGGGACACUUCCGAUGGGCUUGUAUCCUUCAUGUUGUUUUGCUCUAAUUUUUCAAUAAUUUCAUUUAAUGGAAUUUUAUGGAGAAUUAUUCCACUUUGUUUUAAAACAACAUGAAGGAAAGCAGUUCUAUCAUGGACAGAGUAUUCAACCCUAAAAUAUGCAGCAAAAUAACCUCAUCAAAGCGUUCACAUAUUUUAAAAGAAUAUUAUGAGUAAAUUCAGUAUAUUAACUUUAUUUACUUCCUAAAAUUUCUAUAAUUUAAACUUCACAAUCAUUAUUUAAAAUAAAAAAUAAACAUUAGGUUAUUUACCUGUCCACGUAAUCCUGAACGGUUACCGUUCCAAUUGUACUCGUUCUG
RNAcentral lists this long non-coding RNA (1254 nucleotides) under Androctonus crassicauda. The record is from RNAcentral. Lineage: Eukaryota; Metazoa; Arthropoda; Arachnida; Scorpiones; Buthidae.